RNAcentral lists this long non-coding RNA (1028 nucleotides) under Bos indicus x Bos taurus (hybrid cattle). RNAcentral's name for it is "lncRNA (ENSBIXG00000024969.1)". The record is from RNAcentral. Lineage: Eukaryota; Metazoa; Chordata; Mammalia; Artiodactyla; Bovidae.
CCAAAAUAAAUAGGUUUGAGUCUAUCUGAGUUUUGGGACCCAUCAUGGGGCUCCAAAAAAUAUCCAGUUAUAGACACUAUCUUAAGAAAGAGGAUGAUUCUGCUGCUUUGUAGCUGGCUGAAUUGUGCUCAUUUCUUACCAGUUUGUUUAGAGUCACAUGCCCCCAUAACUCAGGGGACACUGAUUCAGAGUAGAUUCGCUCUUGGGAGUGGGGUGCUGUAUACGUUCAUUUCCCAAGAGUUUAGCAUCCUUCCUCCUUAACUAACUGUAUCUGGUGAGCUAUAGAAAAUUUACUGUUUCUAUUUUAACUGUUCCCAGAAAACCAUCAGAAGGUUUUAGCUAGAGUGUGUCUAUGAAUAUUCAUAGACAGUCAGCUUCUGUAUUAGAAACCACACCCACAUCUCUGCAGUAUCUGCAGCAAGAUCAAGGGCGUCCUUGGGGACUCACGGGGCAGCAUGAAAACCUGACUGCAGUCUACCUGCACAAUGAGAUGAGGUUUUCUUUUGGACCCAGCAAGGAUCCCUGCAGUCGAGUUUAUGUACGAGUGCUGCUGAGAUAUAAUUCAGAGGAAGUUAUUGUCAAGUUGAGGAGGGACUUGCUUUUAUUGAAUGAUCAUAAAAUAUCUUAUAUAAGCAAUUGGAGACUAUCCAGUUCUUUCCGGUUGCAGAGAAACUUAUCCUUCAACUCCUGGAGACAAGAAUUUUAAAUUCAACCAAUGAAGCACAGGCAAAUAGCAUUACCUCACCCAAAGAGUGUUUCAUUGGCUGUUCACUUUCCAAGUUGCUUAAAAAUAGUUUCUAAUACUUUAACCCUUGUGUUUGUAAAUCCUACAUGAUGCAGUGUUAGAGCAAACUCUUAAUACUAAAGACAUUCUAUGUGAUAUACACAUAAUGUAUGGUUAGAUUAAAGAAACAAAUGCCACUUAUCGCCAUUAAAAACAUAUUAUAAUGCCAAUGAUCAAUUUGAUUUUUAAAAAGAAACCUUAAUUUUCUUUUUGCUGAAUCAUAAUAUCUGUAUUUGCAUGCUAG